CACAAUAUACCGCGUGAAUGGCAUCCCCUUAUCAAUCCUUCCUGUGUGUUAUCUAAUCUGGCCAACAUUGGCGAAAUAGGAAAAAUUACUUCACUUGUAAACUGCUCCAUUCACUCACAAAUCUUUGAACGACAGCAAUAUCGCCCAGGAUCUAACCAUUUCCCAACUCACUUCCAGUGUAGGCAUUGACACAAGCUGGAUUAUAUUUGUGCAUUGAGGACUGGACUCCCCUAGCCAAAAUGAAAGCAUUCUGCAAAUUAAUUGUUUCUAUUCCAGCUAUGCAGAUAUUAAAGCAAAAACUGUCAUUAAAGGGACACUUACCUUUGGCCAGCUGGAUGACCAUACCUGUCUACCCUUAUCUCCAUACUGAGAGCUGGAAGCUCUUGUUAGGAACUUCCUUAACA
This is a non-coding RNA of Pelobates cultripes (western spadefoot toad), 404 nucleotides long. The record is from the annotation of a GenBank genome assembly. NCBI's taxonomy places the organism in Eukaryota, Metazoa, Chordata, Amphibia, Anura, Pelobatidae.